This 2559-nucleotide long non-coding RNA is filed under the name Salmo salar (Atlantic salmon). Its description in RNAcentral is "lncRNA (ENSSSAG00000084498.1)". The record is from RNAcentral. Lineage: Eukaryota; Metazoa; Chordata; Actinopteri; Salmoniformes; Salmonidae.
GUCAAAUGUGUGUGGGUGGCACAUGCUAUUCUGUUGGCAUGGCGAUGUGUUUGAUGUUUGUAGAAAAAAGCUUUUAGGUUUUCUGGACUUUUUUCUGCUGUCAGCUUUGGUCACUGUGAAUAAAAGCAGCAUUUAUACCUGAACUCUCCGGGGACUGAGGCUUAGAGAGGAGAGAGUUUGAGACUGAGGGUUAGAGAGGAGAGAGGUUGAGACUGAGGGUUAGAGAGAGUAGAGAGUUUGAGACUGAGGGUUAGAGAGAGGAGAGAGGUUGAGACAGGGUUAGAGAGGAGAGAGGUUGAGACUGAUGGUUAGAGAGUAGAGAGUUUGAGACUGAGGGUUAGAGAGGAGAGAGGUUGAGACUGAGGGUUAGAGAGGAGAGAGGUUGAGACUGAUGGUUAGAGAGAGGAGAGGUUGAGACUGAGGGUUAGAGGGAGGAGAGGUUGAGACUGAGGGUUAGAGAGAGAGGGGAGAGUUUGAGACUGAGGGUUAGAGAGGAGAGAGGUUGAGACUGAGGGUUAGAGAGGAGAGAGGUUGAGACUGAUGGUUAGAGAGAGGAGAGAGGUUGAGACUGAGGGUUAUAGAGAGAGAGGAGAGAGGUUGAGACUGAGGGUUAGAGAGAGGAGAGAGGUUGAGACUGAGGGUUAGAGAGAGGAGAGAGGUUGAGACUGAGGGUUAGAGAGAGGAGAGAGUUUGAGACUGAGGGUUAGAGAGAGGAGAGAGGUUGAGACUGAGGGUUAGAGAGAGGAGAGAGGUUGAGACUGAGGGAUAGAGAGAGGAGAGAGGUUGAGACUGAGGGAUAGAGAGGAGAGAGGUUGAGACUGAGGGUUAGAGAGAGGAGAGAGGUUGAGACUGAGGGUUAGAGAGGAGAGAGGUUGAGACUGAGGGUUAGAGAGAGGAGAGAGGUUGAGACUGAGGGUUAGAGAGGAGAGAGGUUGAGACUGAGGGUUAGAGAGUGGAGAGCGGUUGAGACUGAGGGACUGAGAGAGUAGAGAGGUUGAGACUGAGGGUUAGAGAGAGGAGAGAGGUUGAGACUGAGGGAUAGAGAGGAGAGAGGUUGAGACUGAGGGUUAGAGAGAGGAGAGAGGUUGAGACUGAGGGAUAGAGAGAGGAGAGAGUUUGAGACUGAGGGUUAGAGAGGAGAGAGGUUGAGACAGGGUUAGAGAGAGGAGAGAGGUUGAGACUGAGGGUUAGAGAGGAAAGAGGUUGAGACUGAGGGUUAGAGAGAGACUGAGACUGAUAGUUAGAGAGGAGAGAGGUUGAGAAUGAGGGUUAGAGAGAGGAGAGAGGUUGAGACUGAGGGUUAGAGAGGAGAGAGGUUGAGACUGAGGGUUAGAGGGAGGAGAGAGUUUGAGACUGAUAGUUAGAGAGGAGAGAGGUUGAGACUGAGGAUUAGAGAGUAGAGAGUUUGAGACUGAUGGUUAGAGAGAGGAGAGAGGUUGAGACUGAGGGUUAGAGAGAGGAGAGAGGUUGAGACUGAGGAUUAGAGAGUAGAGAGUUUGAGACUGAUGGUUAGAGAGAGGAGAGAGGUUGAGACUGAGGGUUAGAGAGAGAGGAGAGAGGUUGAGACUGAGGGUUAGAGAGAGGGGAGAGGUUGAGACUGAGGGUUAGAGAGAGGAGAGAGGUUGAGACUGAGGAUUAGAGAGUAGAGAGUUUGAGACUGAUGGUUAGAGAGAGGAGAGAGGUUGAGACUGAGGGUUAGAGAGAGAGGAGAGAGGUUGAGACAGGGUUAGAGAGAGGAGAGAGGUUGAGACUGAUAGUUAGAGAGGUUGAGACUGAGGAUUAGAGAGUAGAGAGUUUGAGACUGAUGGUUAGAGAGAGGAGAGAGGUUGAGACUGAGGGUUAGAGAGAGAGGAGAGAGGUUGAGUCUGAGGGUUAGAGAGAGGGGAGAGGUUGAGACUGAGGGUUAGACAGCAGAGAGGUUGAGACUGAGGGUUAGAGAGAGAGGAGAGAGGUUGAGACUGAGGGUUAGAGAGAGGAGAGAGGUUGAGACUGAGGGUUAGAGAGGAGAGAGGUUGAGACUGAGGGUUAGAGAGAGUAGAGAGGUUGAGACUGAUGGUUAGAGAGAGAGGGGAGAGGUUGAGAGAAGAGAGGUUGAGAGGAGAGAGGGCAGAUCUCAAGAGAAGAGGCUGGUGGUCGCUGAGGGUCUGUGGGGUAGAGCCACAAGACUAGGUUCAAAAACGAUUUGAAAUAUUUCAAAUACUUUUAGCUGUGCUUGAUUGAGCCUGCCUAGCUCAAUGGACCAAUAGAAUAGUCCCACAAAUGCAUGCCACGCCCACAUGGCACUCCAGGCAGGCUGUAGCAAACACUGAAAGUAUUUGAAAGAUUUCAAAUAGUAUUUUACACAGGUCUGGUCUGAGGUAGCUAGCCCACCUUCCAUACCAUACAUCCCUCAGGGUCAGGUCUGGUCUGUGAGGUAGCUAGCCCACCUUCCAUACCAUACAUCCCUCAGGGUCUGGUCUGGUCUGAGGUGGCUAGCCCACCUUCCAUAGCAUACAUCCCUCAGGGUCUGGUCUCGUCUGAGGUAGCUAGCCCACCUUCCAUAGCAUACAUCCCUCAGGG